GGACCAAAGCGCAAAGCGCGCAAAUGCGUAGGGACUCAAGCUGGAAAUAAUCCAGGCCCCAAAACGCAUCAUUGAAGCGCGGACCAAUCUGCAAAUACACACAAACUACAAGUCCAAUUCAAAAAAAAAGAAGUAAAGCGUACAAGGGGCAAUUGAAGACUCGUAAGAAUAUGGAGGACCUAGCACGCAAAUUCCCCAUUUUAAGCAAAAGGGCGUGGAUCUAGCCUAUUAAUCGAGUCAAUGCGCGGAUCCUUACCCAUUGAACGGUGUCGUUUCAAUUUCUAUACAAAACAAGGUUAAAAAAAACCCUAAACUAGUUAUUCAUCAUUUAAAAGCAAAUCAAAAUAAAAAGAACUAAGGCCUAUCCUCCUGUUCUUUCAACCGAACCCAAAGGCAGCCCUCAAUCGCCGUUUCGCCUCCAUGCUUGGCUGACGAUCAUCACGCAAGGGCCUAUCCUAGCCUUUUUCGACUACGAAUCCAAGAUUCUUGCUCAAAAGCCUCAGGAUCUUCGCCUGGACUUCGAUUACGGCGAAGCAAACAAAGACUCGAAGGGGGGAAAAUAAGAUAAGUCUCUUAAUCUUUAUUUUUUAUAUAUAUAUACAACAAGUAAAGAUCAAGAAGAAAGAAAUAAUAACUAAAAAAAAUCGAAAAGAAAAAAUAGAUCUGAAAAUCACCUGGAAAUCUUUUCUUUUUCUAUUUCAUUGUUUUGUAUCUGUAUUUCAAUGUGUAUAUUGUGCGUGUGUUCUCCCCCUUCUUUACAAAAAUGAAAGGAAUGGCUUUAUAGCCGAACAAUAAUCCAAAAUAAAAAAAUACAAGCCCCCUUUUUUUUUUAUUCUAUUGUUUUUUGUUUCUAUUUGCUGUUGUCUGCUUGUCUGCUUGCAGGUACAUGGUGGUGUACGGAUGUGGUAUGGUCGUGUCGACGUGGAGGCGCGAGCGAUGGUAGUGCUGGAGGCUGCUGGAGGCUACUGCAGCGCCAAGCGAAUGGGGCUAGGGUUAGGGUUUCCAAGAACUUUCAAAGGAUUGGGCCUAUCGGGCUCUAUUUUUGGGUCUAGGUUAAUAUUAGUUGUUGGGCCAUUGAGUAUUGGGCUAGGGUUAAUUCGGUUUUGGGUUUUAAAUUUAGGUUUGGGUUUGUAAUGUUUUGGGUUUAAAAUUGGGUUAUGUAAUUUGGACUUGUGGACAUUUAAUUUGGUUUAAUUUUUAUUUAUUUUGUAUUUUGGUGGACCCGGGCAAAUUGGCCCGCUUACACAUAAUACUCCUAAAUUGGUGGAAAGAAAUAUUAUGUUACUUUUAUUGAUGAUUGUUCUAGAUAUUGUUAUGUAUAUUUAUUGCAUUCAAAAGAUGAAGCGCUUGAUAAA
Molecule: long non-coding RNA, 1355 nt
Filed under: Gossypium barbadense (sea-island cotton)
Lineage: Eukaryota; Viridiplantae; Streptophyta; Magnoliopsida; Malvales; Malvaceae
Description: long non-coding RNA (GBAR_LNC011753)
Source: RNAcentral